CCCUUAGAUGUUCUGGGCCGCACGCGCGCUACAAUGAUGAAUUCAACGAGUUUAUAACCUUGGUUGAAAAGCCUGGGUAAUCUUUUGAACUUUCGUCGUGAUGGGGCUAGACCCUUGCAAUUAUUGGUCUCCAACGAGGAAUUCCUAGUAAACGCAAGUCAUCAGCUUGCAUUGAUUACGUCCCUGCCCUUUGUACACACCGCCCGUCGCACCUACCGAUUGAAUGGUCCGGUGAAGCGUUUGGACUAUGGUUUUCUGACGGUUCGCCAUUGGAUUACCGUGGGAAAUUCGUUAAACCUUAUCAUUUAGAGGAAGGAGAAGUCGUAACA
RNAcentral lists this ribosomal RNA (329 nucleotides) under uncultured eukaryote. RNAcentral's name for it is "partial 18S ribosomal RNA". It matches the Rfam family "Eukaryotic small subunit ribosomal RNA", at positions 1470 to 1796 of the family's 1831-position model. The record is from RNAcentral.